GAUGAGCAUGCGUCCCAUUAGCUUGUUGGUAAGGUAACGGCUUACCAAGGCAACGAUGGGUAGGGGUCCUGAGAGGGAGAUCCCCCACACUGGUACUGAGACACGGACCAGACUCCUACGGGAGGCAGCAGUGAGGAAUAUUGGUCAAUGGGCGCAAGCCUGAACCAGCCAUGCCGCGUGCAGGAUGACGGUCCUAUGGAUUGUAAACUGCUUUUGUACAGGAAGAAACAGUUCUACGUGUAGAACCUUGACGGUACUGUAAGAAUAAGGAUCGGCUAACUCCGUGCCAGCAGCCGCGGUAAUACGGAGGAUCCAAGCGUUAUCCGGAAUCAUUGGGUUUAAAGGGUCCGUAGGCGGUUUAGUAAGUCAGUGGUGAAAGCCCAUCGCUCAACGGUGGAACGGCCAUUGAUACUGCUAGACUUGAAUUAUUAGGAAGUAACUAGAAUAUGUAGUGUAGCGGUGAAAUGCUUAGAGAUUACAUGGAAUACCAAUUGCGAAGGCAGGUUACUACUAAUGGAUUGAC
RNAcentral lists this ribosomal RNA (523 nucleotides) under uncultured Bacteroidota bacterium. RNAcentral's name for it is "bacterial SSU rRNA". It matches the Rfam family "Bacterial small subunit ribosomal RNA", at positions 224 to 744 of the family's 1533-position model. The record is from RNAcentral. Lineage: Bacteria; Pseudomonadati; Bacteroidota.